AUUUAUAUAGUUUAUUAUAAAACUUUACAUUUUCAUUGUAAAAAUAAAAUCUCAAAUUUUUAUAAAUA
Molecule: transfer RNA, 68 nt
Filed under: Mustilizans eitschbergeri
Lineage: Eukaryota; Metazoa; Arthropoda; Insecta; Lepidoptera; Endromidae
Description: tRNA-Glu
Source: RNAcentral